Molecule: small RNA, 483 nt
Filed under: Pongo abelii (Sumatran orangutan)
Lineage: Eukaryota; Metazoa; Chordata; Mammalia; Primates; Hominidae
Description: processed transcript
Source: RNAcentral
CGCGAUGGUGAGGCACCAGGGGCUAAGCCAGGCUUGGGCUGCUGGAGCGGGAAUGAGGGGGCGCCAGUGGCUCCGGAAACUGGGGGAGGUUGUACUGGCCUCUCCGCAAACACAGUGUGUGCGGCGUGAGGGCUGCGGGUCUGGUAGGGAAAAGUCCACCGCUCUCCCGCUCCCGAGACGGAGAGGGGCGGGGGUAGGGGGCGGGUAAGACAGCGCAGGCCGGCCGGCUUAGAGUCCCGGUGCUUCCCUGGCAGAAGGAAGGGCCCCUGCCUCCCGGGGCAGACUAGGGCUUGUCUGGAGCUGGGAGUCCUUUCAGGUCUUCCCCAUCCCCAAGAGGACCUCCCAAGGAUACCCCCUUCCCCAGCCCUGCUGUGGGGGUUUGUUCAAGAAGAGGUUCCGGUUCUGUGGUGAUCUGGACUGUCCCGACUGGGUCUUGGCAGAAAUCAGCACGCUGGCCAAGAUGUCCUCUGUGAAGUUGCGGCU